GUGUUGAUGUGUGAGAGUGUGUGUGCAUGUCACUGUGGAGAGGUGGCUCCAGGCUUCCUGGUGUGCCCAGGGGUGGCCACAGUAGGGAGGCUGCACUCAGGCCCUGCCUGGACUCCUGCUCUCCCCUCGUGGCCCAGCCUUGUGUUACUGCAAGUGACUGGAGGAGGCCAGGGGGUUGGAGGACGUGUCCAGGUCCUAUGUCACAGGCCAGGGGAACAUCCACACACCUGCGCCCCUGGCUGAGCUGUGUUGUCAGGGACCCUCAGCACUUGGGAAGGUGUGAGGAGGCCAAGAGGCCAGGUCCUAGGAAGGCUUGAAGCGGACCCUUCAUCUGCCCAGGGGAUCCAUUUGUGGGGUCAAGGGAGGUCCUCCAGCCAGGCCACCCCGACCCCGGCCAGAGCAUCCUCCUCACCCCUGGGUUCCCACUCAACUGCCCACUGGCUCACGUCCCUACCUGUCCCCGGUUCUUGCCGCUCCCUGUCCUGGGAGGCAGGUUGGGAUCUGGCCUUACUUCCAGUAAAAUGACUUCUCUUUCAUAUUAGGCCAAGGCGAGAGAGCGGAGACAUUUAUGAAACUUUGUUUAAUGUACUGAAAAGCCAUCGGCCAGAACAUUUAGGAAAUUGAUUUUCCUGGCAUUGAUGAACUCAUUUUAUUUUACCCCAGUAUUAAUUACUUUUUUUUAAAACAAAUUAAUUUAAGAGUCGUAAAACCUAACAAGUGAGCCAAACGUCCACAGAUCAUGUCCUGCUCCGCCCCUCCCCACAUUGACCCCCUCCCUCUAUGGGUGGGGGCCCCCGGUGGGGGGAUCUCCUGUCCCUCCCACUCCCUCCCAGAGGUGAUGCGCCCCCCUCCUCCUCUGCAGGAGAGGCCUCCUCGCUGCGGGACUACGCGGCCUCCACCAUGACCGAGUUCCUCGGCAUGUUUGGCUACGACGACCAGAACACGCGGGACGAGCUGGCCAGGAAGAUCAGCUUUGAGAAGCUGCACGCGGGCUCCACCCCGGAGGCAGCCACCUCCUCCAUGCUGCCCACCUCCGAGGAUACCCUCAGCAAGCGGGCGCGGUUCUCUAAGUAUGAGGAGUACAUCCGCAAGCUCAAGGCUGGCGAGCAGCUCUCCUGGCCGGCCCCCAGCACCAAGACCGAGGAGCGGGUGGGCAAGGAGGUGGUGGGCCCCCUGCCCGGCCUGCGGCUGCCCAGCAGCACGGCCCACCUGGAGACCAAGGCCACCAUCCUGCCCCUGCCGUCGCACAGCAGCGUCCAGAUGCAGAACCUGGUGGCCCGGGCCUCCAAGUACGACUUCUUCAUCCAAAAACUGAAGACCGGCGAGAAUCUGCGGCCCCAGAACGGGAGCACCUACAAGAAGCCAUCCAAGUACGACCUGGAGAAUGUCAAGUACCUGCACCUCUUCAAACCCGGGGAGGGCAGCCCCGACAUGGGCGGGGCCAUCGCCUUCAAGACGGGCAAGGUGGGGCGCCCCUCCAAGUACGACGUCCGGGGCAUCCAGAAGCCAGGCCCCGCCAAGGUUCCGCCCACCCCCAGCCUGGCUCCCGCACCCCUCGCCAGCGUGCCCAGUGCCCCCAGCGCCCCCGGGCCAGGGCCAGAGCCUCCUGCCUCCCUGUCCUUCAACACUCCCGAGUACCUGAAGUCAACCUUCUCCAAAACAGACUCCAUCACCACGGGGACCGUCUCCACUGUCAAGAACGGACUGCCCACAGAUAAACCAGCCGUCACUGAAGAUGUAAACAUUUACCAGAAAUAUAUUGCCAGGUAGGCCCCUGGGGAGGAGCCUGCCGUGGAGAGAAGGUGGGGGGCCAGGACUGACCGGGCACUCUGAGGCCAUUCGUUUGACAUCUGACCUCUAGGGCCAAGGUAGCUACCUCCUCCCAUCCCCAUCCACUUCGGUCCCUCCACCGUACCAAGGGCUGCCCUGCACGCCCGUCUCAGAGCCUCCCUCCGCUCUGUGUCCAGGCCACACAUUCCCUCAGCAGCCUGUGCCCCCAGGUAGGGCCGGGGUCCCAACGCAGGGCCUGGCCACAGGUGAGUGCAGCUCCCCUAGCUUGCCUGGGUCCUGCUGUCACACAUAGCCUUGGGUAGGGUGCAGGCCACCGUGAAACUGUCAGGGUUGGGAAGGGAGAGGCAGGCCGGGUGCAGUGGCUCAUGCCUGUAAUCCCAGCACUGUGGGAGGCCAAGAUGGGAGGAUCACUUGAGGCCAGGAGUUCGAGAUCAUCCUGGGCAACAGAGUGAGACCCUAUCUCUUUAAAAAAA
RNAcentral lists this small RNA (2264 nucleotides) under Pongo abelii (Sumatran orangutan). Its description in RNAcentral is "retained intron". Lineage: Eukaryota; Metazoa; Chordata; Mammalia; Primates; Hominidae. The record is from RNAcentral.